This 1467-nucleotide small RNA is filed under the name Rattus norvegicus (Norway rat). RNAcentral describes it as "uncharacterized LOC102552229". Lineage: Eukaryota; Metazoa; Chordata; Mammalia; Rodentia; Muridae. The record is from RNAcentral.
UGUAGACACACUGGGCGUUGUAAUUUUUGUUUGUUUAGUUAGUUGCUUGGUUUUUGAAAUAGCUUAUUUCUUGUUGACCUGAUUAAUUUGUUGUUUGGUUAUUGAGGCACGCAGCUUCUUUGUUGGUUGGUUAGUUAGUUGGUUAUUUGAUUUUUGAGACACGCAGCGUACUCACCACACCACUCCCAUUGAUUCAGUCUGAAACCCAGUCCAUGGGAUAUGUCACCUUCCGGGCUGCACCAGAGACAGCAAGGACCACUAGCUGGUUGGUAAAAGUGCCCCACAGCUUGAUUGGUUCUAACCCCACUUCCAUCCAGUCAUUUUGGUUUUGGUGUUUGUUUGAAGAGUUUCUCUGUGUAGCCCUGGAUGUCUUGGAACUCACUCUGUAGACCAGGGUGGCCUUCGAUACCACUUUGAGUCUAAUCUUGGGCUCCUGGACAAACUUGCCUUGUCUAGAAAUCAUUUGUCAAGUCCUUGGGCCCUUGCUUCCCACUACAAAGUGAAGAUUGAGGCCUUAGCAUAGCUGUCUGACAGCUGAAGAAGCUGUAGUCUGCAGAAGCCUCUGACUUACUAUUGACAAUGUCCACAGGCCUGCAUCCCACUGGUAGUGCUGGUGCAGCCACGAAAGCCUUGGGGAUGCUGGAGGAGCUGCUUCCUGAGUGAUCCUAUUGGGCCCAGUGUUUAUAGAGUCUGAACAGCUCUCCAUGUGCCCUGGCUCUCAAACACUACUAGCAGAGACAGUACCCCAAGAAGUUGUGAUCAUGGCAUUGACAGCUGAAGGAGAUACUGAAAAGUCCCUAGAGUGGUCAGGGAACAAAGAAAAAGGGAGGUGGAGGCGCUGAGAGUUUCAUUUACAAUGUUGCGACCCCCACACACGGUUACCACCCACUGCUGUCAGACAUGGAGAGAAACAAAAGCUGCUGAAGACCAACUUUUAACAAGGAAAGUGGAGACAUUAGACAGUUCCAAUUACAACGUUCCUUUCACCCUCCCCCAACACUGUCACCACUCAUUGAAGGAAACAAAAGCUGCUGGAGACCAACAUUUAACAAGUUUGCCUACCCAGGACUUCCAACCAGGCAGCACAGAGAGCACGCAGUCAGUUGAAGAAUAUCCGUUUUUCCACUUGGCAGUCCAAUCCCUGCAGGUAAAUGUGUGUCCAUGUGUGUCUGCGUCCAUCCCCACACGCACGUGCCAUGGAAGUCAGGAGAGAGCACUGGAAUCCCUGGAGCUGUAACUACGGUCGGAUGUGAGCUGCCUGAUGUGGUGUUAGGGACUAGAUUCAGGUCCUCUGGAAGAACAGCAAGUUCUGGGGAGCCAUCUUUCCAGCUCCUGGCUCUGCUUCUGAUGUUUGGUCGCAGACAGCCCUCAAACCUACAUCUGACAAGCCAAGAGCACCGGCCUGCUCCACUGAUAUCUGGGAAAUUCAAAGCUCAUACAGAAACUAUUAAAGCCAGUCCUUCCUUA